GCAUUAGAGGUUCAGUGGUAGAAUUCUCACCUUUCAUCCAGGAGACCUGGGUUCGAUUUCCAGCCAGUGCA
RNAcentral lists this transfer RNA (71 nucleotides) under Loxodonta africana (African savanna elephant). It matches the Rfam family "tRNA". Rfam says of the family: Transfer RNA (tRNA) molecules are approximately 80 nucleotides in length. Their secondary structure includes four short double-helical elements and three loops (D, anti-codon, and T loops). Lineage: Eukaryota; Metazoa; Chordata; Mammalia; Proboscidea; Elephantidae. The record is from Rfam by way of RNAcentral.